UGAGCUUGUGGUCACACCGACAACUCACAAAAAAUAUUCGUUAAAAAUUUUGUGCUACAGUUCAAUUGAAAAAAAAACAUGCCAAAAUUUAAAUAAAGGCGUUAUCCGACGCGCAUGCGGCUAGAUGCGGGUUCUCGAGAAGACAACGAGAACGGGGAUAUAACAAUGGAGACCAAUAACAAUGGAGGCAAUGGGAUGUUGUUGACUCAGCUGGAACAGAAGGAAGAGACUGAAAAUGUAACUAAAAUGAAACUGACGCAACUUGAGCAGCAAAACAAGCAGCUGCAAAGAAUAAAGCUUAAUACAUUCCGAUGUUAAUAAAUUCGUUCAAUACUAAUUUUAACCAUGUCUUAAAGGUUGAGCUAUCAGCAUUAAAAAACGAAUUCCAACAGCUAAAGAAUAACUUUUUUGCAAAGGUCAAGGACUGUGCCCUAUGCGAAAAUAAAGUAGCCGAUUUGGAAAUGAAGUUGCAAGAGAGUGCAAAGUUAAAUUUUGAGAUGGAACAAAAACUUGCCCAGGCUGAGGCAAGUUAUAUUAAAAUGCGGCAACAAUUUGAGAGCAUUAUAGUGGGAUCUUAUGAUAGAUCGAUAGCACAUCAUAGACAGUCACAAAUAUCGCAAGAGUGUGACAGGCAACAAUUCCUCGACGACAUUAAUCACGAAGCUGCUAAGGAUAGAGAUAAGAUAAGAUAACAAAGCCAAGACCAAUGGCACCCAGCAACAGUAGAUGCAGCCUGUUCAUACAGCGGAAAUUGAUGCUGCGUCCGCCGAUAGUAUUUCAAAUACAGCAAUUACUACAGGGCCAUCAUCAUCCUCAUCAACGGAACCAGCUGCAACUGCAAAAUCAGUCAGACGUAGACGAAUUUAAUUUAAAAAAGUCAAUACAUUAAGGCUUUCAUGUGCCAAUGUAACCUCCUUUAAGCACUGCUAUAUAAGCAUCAAGUUCUGAAAAGUUAAAUGCUUAAGCAAUACAUUAAAGAUGGAAGCCCUAUUUGAUUAAUGGAGCUUUCGGCUGGAAGCUUGCUAGCCGGGAAGCCCAUGUCUACCACACAAGCGGAUGGCUUCCGAAAUACAAUCAUGUGUGUGUCUUUGGCAGAAGAAGCUGGAGAUGGAGAACACCAGUUGGGUGGAACACUUUGCGCGUCACACCGGCGAAUUAAUGUACUAUCGAGAAUCCUAUCCAGCUCCCGUCCAGAACCACUUGAGAAUUGCAACAGGCGAAAAAAUAAAAUUUACUGUUUACGUUUUUAAUUUAUGUAAACAAACCUGCAGUUAUGCCAUACAAAUUUGGAGAACAAAAUGUUGCAUACUUUCAAGCUGAUCAUUCAAGAACAUAAAAAACAAGAAGGCUACAGUCAAGUGUGCUAAACUCUGAGACCCCCCGCUUCCCAACGGUAUUGGGUAUAAAGAGUCCGUAGUAAGAGGUGUUAGACCAUAUGUAUAUUGUGAAAAUAUUUUUAAGGUAUACUUAAUAAUUAUUUUAUGGAAUCUUGCAUGUUCUUAAAACUUAAAGCCACUGCACUAUGGGGCAUUUUCCAAUUUAGCUGGCAUUUAGUCGUUUUUGAAAAAUGUUCCAAUUAGAAAAAUUUUAAUGUCAAUGCAUUAACAGAACAUCAAACUUUUAUGGCUCAUACCAAAAACAUGUACAUAUAUCUAACAGCUCUUUUGAGCAUAACAGCUGUAAAGUCAGCUGUUGCAUCCGAAAGCACGCGAGUUAUGUUAACAUUUAAUUAAAUAAAAUUAAUGUUUUUUUUUUGUAACUUCAGUUUAUUUUCUUCACGUUGUGUUCUUGUUCGCGUCUGCUCACCAAGUCAAAAGCUUUUUGUGUCUUCUUCGUAGUCGACAGAGCUUGUGAUCUCUCUCUCUCUGACUUGUUAAAUGCAUGAUACAAUUAUACAAGGUAGUCUCGUCGGAAAAAGCUGUCCGACUUUAAACAAAACAAUGAGUGCGAGUGAAAGAGUCUCAGCACAGCAGUGUGAGCGAGACGACAAUGAAAUGCGCAUUAACCCUUAGACGAUGAUAUUAAUAUUUACAUAAUUUGAAGCUAAUAUUAAUGUCUUUUUGACAUAUUUCUAAAAUGUAAGUUGUUUAUGAAUAAUAUUAACAAUAUAUAUGAGAAUUCUCUAAUUCUCGAAAUGUUUUAAUUCUAUCCGUAUCUACGGCAUACAUUGCAAAAUGUGAUUUUGCACAAGGGUUAAUUGCAGAAAAAAAAUCGUCCGCAGACAACCUCUUGCGUCGAAAUACGAAUGCGUACUGACGGAAGCUUUUUCCGACGAGACUACCUUGUAUAAUUGUAUCAUGGUUAAAUGUAAACGAAGAGAAUGAAAGCUUCGAGUACAUAACUCGCGCGCUAAGUUGGCAUAUUUUUUUUCAGUGAACUUUGUUAUUCAUUUAUUUAUGUUG
Long non-coding RNA from Drosophila nasuta, 2402 nucleotides. RefSeq lists it as uncharacterized. Lineage: Eukaryota; Metazoa; Arthropoda; Insecta; Diptera; Drosophilidae. The record is from RefSeq and is a predicted model, not a curated record. The transcript has 3 exons.